This 468-nucleotide ribosomal RNA is filed under the name uncultured bacterium. RNAcentral's name for it is "partial 16S ribosomal RNA". It matches the Rfam family "Bacterial small subunit ribosomal RNA", at positions 28 to 507 of the family's 1533-position model. The record is from RNAcentral.
GACGAACGCUGGCGGCGUGCUUAACACAUGCAAGUCGAACGGAAAGGCCCUGCUUUUGUGGGGUGCUCGAGUGGCGAACGGGUGAGUAACACGUGAGUAACCUGCCCUUGACUUUGGGAUAACUUCAGGAAACUGGGGCUAAUACCGGAUAGGAGCUCCUGCUGCAUGGUGGGGGUUGGAAAGUUUCGGCGGUUGGGGAUGGACUCGCGGCUUAUCAGCUUGUUGGUGGGGUAGUGGCUUACCAAGGCUUUGACGGGUAGCCGGCCUGAGAGGGUGACCGGCCACAUUGGGAAUGAGAUACGGGCCAGACUCCUACGGGAGGGAGCAGGGGGGGAUAUUGCACCAUGGGCGGAAGCCUGAUGCAGCAACGCCGCGUGCGGGAUGACGGCCUUCGGGUUGUAAACCGCUUUCGCCUGUGACGAAGCGUGAGUUAAGGUAAUGGGUAAAGAAGCACCGGCUAACUACGUG